This 520-nucleotide long non-coding RNA is filed under the name Gouania willdenowi (blunt-snouted clingfish). RNAcentral describes it as "lncRNA (ENSGWIG00000011195.1)". The record is from RNAcentral. Lineage: Eukaryota; Metazoa; Chordata; Actinopteri; Blenniiformes; Gobiesocidae.
GAAAUAAAUAAACAUUGCUCUGCAAUUCAGCAAAAACGUUGAUCUCCAGUGUAAAACAUUUCAGUUUUCCAGCUUUCAAAAAGAAGAAAAUCACGCUUGCUGAUAUAUUUAAAGUAUCAUCAGAAUGUUUUCCAGUCAAUUCAAAACUAAGGACUAUAUUUCGUGUCCCAAUAAUGAGUUGAUGUCGGGCCAAAAACAGCGAGUGUUUGUUCAGCAGGAACAGGUUUCUCUUGACUGGCCUGAAGUGUACGUCUACGGGGCCGAACAGAAUGGGGGUCAGUACGGGGCCCAACAACAUCAGGGACCCACAGCUGUUUAUAAUGAGGGGUACUGGGCCCCAAACAAUGUGGGCCUCCCACCCGUCACCGACUUGAUGGACGAUGAGUACUGCCCCUCAACCACCACCACCAUUCCUAAUUUGGCCCUAAAACUGACUGACUACCUAAACUGCACCCUGGCCACUGCAUCUGCAAUGACUGUAACAUCUUUGUUUAUAACUCAUCUUCAUGUAUUUCUGUAG